Xyrichtys novacula (pearly razorfish) is the source of this 77-nucleotide non-coding RNA. Lineage: Eukaryota; Metazoa; Chordata; Actinopteri; Labriformes; Labridae. The record is from the annotation of a GenBank genome assembly.
UAACGUUAAAAACCUGCAAUCAAACUUUAAACCUGAUCAUUUUAUUUUUUAAGUUUGACUGCAGGUUUUUAACGUAA